This 433-nucleotide ribosomal RNA is filed under the name uncultured bacterium. RNAcentral describes it as "partial 16S ribosomal RNA". It matches the Rfam family "Bacterial small subunit ribosomal RNA", at positions 29 to 507 of the family's 1533-position model. The record is from RNAcentral.
AACGAACGCUGGCGGCAUGCCUAACACAUGCAAGUCGAACGAGACCUUCGGGUCUAGUGGCGCACGGGUGCGUAACGCGUGGGAACCUGCCCUUAGGUUCGGAAUAACUCCCCGAAAGGGGUGCUAAUACCGGAUAAUGUCUUCGGACCAAAGAUUUAUCGCCUUUGGAUGGGCCCGCGUUGGAUUAGCUAGUUGGUAGGGUAAAAGCCUACCAAGGCGACGAUCCAUAGCUGGUCUGAGAGGAUGAUCAGCCACACUGGGACUGAGACACGGCCCAGACUCCUACGGGAAGCAGCAGUGGGGAAUAUUGGACAAUGGGCGAAAGCCUGAUCCAGCAAUGCCACGUGAGUGAUGAAGGCCUUAGGGUUGUAAAGCUCUUUUACCCGGGAUGAUAAUGACAGUACCGGGAGAAUAAGCUCCGGCUAACUCCGUG